CCUUGUACACACCGCCCGUCACACCAUGGGAGUUGGUUUUACCUGAAGGCGGUGCGCCAACCCGCAAGGGAGGCAGCCGACCACGGUGGGGUCAGCGACUGGGGUG
RNAcentral lists this ribosomal RNA (106 nucleotides) under uncultured bacterium. RNAcentral describes it as "partial 16S ribosomal RNA". It matches the Rfam family "Bacterial small subunit ribosomal RNA", at positions 1379 to 1482 of the family's 1533-position model. The record is from RNAcentral.